AAAAGAAGCUGUAACUGCAUGUGGAUUGUGUUAAUGUAUUUCCUUAUUGUGGAGUUUAAGUUAUGUUUUAUGAGUUAUACUUUUGUCAUUUGUUUAUGGUAUCAUACUUAAUAUUUAUCUCAGUUGGGUGAGAUAGAUAAUGUCCCCAUUUUAUAGUCAAGAACCAUUAAGCAGUUGAGAGCUGGGCUGAAGUGUGGAAUCCUUCCUCAACUGUUUUUCCCAUUACAUUUUAAAUAGCUCCAAUCCAAGAAAAAGCCUUGCUUCACUUUUGAUCUCAUAUCCAAAAGUUGAGUAAGGUAAACAUAAUUUUUUUUUUGCUUAAUUAAAAAAAGUGAAUCUGCAAUACAUGACCAUGUAAUUCUUUGUAAGCAUCUUCUCAGAUGAUGGGCACAGAUUAGUAAUUGGUUGAGCUAUGGUAUGCGCUCAUUUUUGGUUGCGAGUUUUUUUCCUUCUCCUUAUAUGCAGUGCCAUUUGAGAAUUGCCCUGGAAAGGUGCUAUUUUCUCUCUUUCUGCAGACUUUUAUAUCAGUUUCUUAGUGUGCAAUGUAGAAGAAUAUCACUCUCAUGACCUUUCAGGUAAAUAGGCACAAUGAAGCAGCUAAGAUGCUGAGGACUGCGUAAUGGGGUUUUCACUUACACACAUGGUUGUAAUUCCUCAAGGUAAUGCUGGUGGAUGGGAUGAUUCAGGAGGUAGUCAUGAAAGUCUUCCUUGCCUGGCAGGGUUUCCGCACCAUAGUUCCGUAUCCUUUUUCCUCAUGGUUUACUCCAACUGCACUGAUAUCCUUUUACUAUUUCUCUUACUAUGACUUUGAGAUUGACAGUUACCCCCAAACCAUUUUGAAUCCAAGUGUGUUCCAUGAUUAGAGGAGGUGAAUGUUGAUUGAUAAAGAAGUGGACAUGAGAUAACCAGAAAGGUAAUGAACUAUGGAUUAUUCUUUUAAAUGUGUGAUACAGGUUGAGAAUUCCCAGACCUUGGUGCAUGUGGGGAGGCGAUUUUGGCCUACUCCAUGUAAAACUCUCUUCAGAAGGACAAAUGGCUCUGUUCACUAGUUGGACAGAUUGAGGCAGGGACAAAUUAAGAACUUUUAGUGAUGGUUCAUCCACUGGAUUUUAUCAUAGAUUUUUUUUUAUCAGUUUAAUGGUCUGGGGCAGUUGAUUUGACUUUUUCUUGAAAUAAAUCAACAACAAAAAAAGAACUUCACUCUCUCUUAUUUGUUGCCUAAACAAUGUUUCCAAAAGUUAAUUGACUGUCUCCAGUACAGCUGAUUUGAUUGUCUCAAGAAAUCAGUUAGUUUUGCUAAAAAACAGAUAUAACUCCUCUACCUCUUGUCUGGUGCUUAUACAAUGUUUCCAGAAGAUCAUUAUCCUUCAGCAUGCUAUCAGUAUGGAGAAGGCCCAUUUUUUUUAAAAAAAGAUAAUGCUCCCUCUCUUUCGUGAAUUUCAGCCUAUUUAGACUUGGUUCUUAUGCCUCACAUUGAAUACUUGUUCUAGAGAAAUGUGAUCCCAGGAAUGCUGGUGGUUUGCUGUGUGUUAAAAUGGUGCUAUGCUUUAGGUUUCUGUUCCAAUCUAAGAUUUCAGAAGAGUCAGUAACUGCAAAUAAUCUAAAAGGGGAAGAGUGAAGAAUGCUUCUAACUUCCCUUUGAAAUGAAUAGCUCUGCCAGAGCAGCAGCUAUUAGAAAAACAAAAACGACAAAGAAAAGCUGCUCGGCUCAGCACACAGAGGUAAAUUUACUUACAUCAGACUGAAAAAUGAGGGCUGGGCUUUGAAAAGACAUCCCUUCUGACUAGAGGAGAGCUUGUAAUUUUGGCAUGGCUGCAGCCCUCCUAAACCCCUGAGAAAUUCUGAAAAACAUUACAGAAGACUGUUCUUAAUAUUAAUGGAUGUCUUCGCGUGCGUGUGUGUGUGUGUGUGUGUGUGUGUGUUUGUGUAUCUAUGCAUUCGGAAAGAAAAAUGCCAGCCAGAGAAGAGGGGAAGAAUGAGAGAAGAACGGAUUAUGUAGGUUGAAGAUCUACCACUGAAAAUGUCUAAUUUCUGACGAAUCAUUGGCAUUCGUCAUUCUCUACUCUUCAGCCAAUAGAGUAGCUCAAGAUGAGAUUGAGAGGAACACCCGCCAUUCAGACACUCUUAAGUUAUUAGCCUUCCAAUAAUGCGGCCCUCUUAACAAACUCUUCCUAAAAUACUUUGUUUGUAGAUAACACAGCUCACUGAUAUAAUCUAAGAUCAUGGUCUUAUCUAUUAUAUGACAUCAGAGGUGAAAAAAAGACCGUUUUCCCAUGGCUAAUUGUGGCAAGUGUGGCAUCAUGUUGUACUCUUAGUGAACAAUUUCAGGGCCACCAAGAGCCUACUGCUCUGCCUCUUGGGAGGGGACUUUUCCUUUGCAGCUCAGCUUCAGGAAACACGAACAUUUGUGUUUUCGAGACCACAUACCAUUGGGAAGGAAGUUGGGGUGGAGAUGCGUGCUGAGAUUAAGUGGCUACGAGAAUCCCUGGACUGUGUCUGAUCUGGAAACCACUAGGGCUUGUGCAGUCCUCUUUCUGGCAUGCCUUUAGAACUUGCCAAGUGCACAACAGGGCCACUAAGGAUAUUGUUCACCAAAUAACAUAUGGAGAAUUCCUGUUGUUGUGCAGCAGAAACAAAUCUGACUGGUAUCUUUGAGGAUAUGGGUUCGAUCCCUGGCUUCCUCCGUGGGUCGGGGUCCGGCCUUGCCUUGAGCUGUGAUGAGGUCACAGACACGGCUUGGAUCCCAUGUUGCUGUGGCUGUGGUGUAGCCCAGCAGCUGUAGCUCCGAUUUGACCCCUAGCCUGGGAAUUUCCAUAUGCCUUCCUGAAAG
RNAcentral lists this long non-coding RNA (2830 nucleotides) under Sus scrofa (pig). RNAcentral's name for it is "lncRNA (ENSSSCG00045017367.1)". The record is from RNAcentral. Lineage: Eukaryota; Metazoa; Chordata; Mammalia; Artiodactyla; Suidae.